CGGAAUCCCAGCUCCACUUACCAGGCCGCGGCUACCCCGUCGCCCCCGCCACUCCCGCCACCCCGCUCUCCCAGGCUCUUCAGGAUCCAAGUUUGUAGGCCCUUUAAGGGGUCUAGUUGCCCUUUGCGGGGCCCUGGGACUUUGGUCCCAGACAGGGGGGAUCCGGAUGGCUUCCGUGCGGAUCCGAGAGGCCAAGGAGGGAGACUGUGGGGAUAUCCUGAGGUUGAUUCGGGUGAAGACUGUGGGCCGGAAACCAGGGGGUCAGAGUGGCGCGGCCAGGACGGGGACGCAGGAGGCGGGGGCAGGGGAGGGGCUCGCCUUGGGACCCCGCUCGGGGAGCAGCGGGGCCCUUCUGCUCUAAUCUAGCUUCCGUACCCACGCCUUAGGAACUAGCCGAGUUCGAAAAACUCUCGGAUCAGGUGAAGAUCAGUGAGGAAGCCCUGAGAGCAGAUGGCUUUGGAGAGAAUCCUUUCUAUCACUGUUUGGUAGCAGAGAUUCUUCCAGCGCCCGGGGAGCUACUGGGUCAAGGGAUUGGUUCCAAAAUAAUCAAAAAGGUGGCUGAGGUGGCCUUGGAUAAGGGCUGCUCCCAAUUCCGCCUGGCCGUCCUGGACUGGAACCAGAGGGCUAUGGACUUGUACAAGGCCUUAGGAGCCCAAGAUCUGACGGAAGCUGAGGGCUGGCACUUCUUCUGCUUUCAAGGAGAGGCAAUGAGAAAGUUGGCAGGAAAGUGACGCCAUCCCUAGGGGGAUCUCUCUCUUGAGUUUCUCCUUCCCCACCAGCUCAAGCACUCUUCAGAGACUACGUCCACAGAC
This 812-nucleotide small RNA is filed under the name Pongo abelii (Sumatran orangutan). Its description in RNAcentral is "retained intron". Lineage: Eukaryota; Metazoa; Chordata; Mammalia; Primates; Hominidae. The record is from RNAcentral.